GGCUUAGAGUUUGAUCAUGGCUCAGGAUGAACGCUGGCGGCGUGCUUAACACAUGCAAGUCGAACGGAGAGCGUAUGACAGAGGAUUCGUCCAAUGGAUUUAGUUUCUUAGUGGCGGACGGGUGAGUAACGCGUGAGGAACCUGCCUCGGAGUGGGGAAUAACACAACGAAAGCUGUGCUAAUACCGCAUGAUGCAGCUGGGUCGCAUGACUCUGGCUGCCAAAGAUUUAUCGCUCUGAGAUGGCCUCGCGUCUGAUUAGCUGGUUGGCGGGGUAACGGCCCACCAAGGCGACGAUCAGUAGCCGGACUGAGAGGUUGGCCGGCCACAUUGGGACUGAGACACGGCCCAGACUCCUACGGGAGGCAGCAGUGGGGAAUAUUGGGCAAUGGGCGCAAGCCUGACCCAGCAACGCCGCGUGAAGGAAGAAGGCCCUCGGGUUGUAAACUUCUUUUGUCAGGGACGAAGCAAGUGACGGUACCUGACGAAUAAGCCACGGCUAACUACGUGCCAGCAGCCGCGGUAAUACGUAGGUGGCAAGCGUUAUCCGGAUUUACUGGGUGUAAAGGGCGUGUAGGCGGGAUUGCAAGUCAGAUGUGAAAACCACGGGCUCAACCUGUGGCCUGCAUUUGAAACUGCAGUUCUUGAGUACUGGAGAGGCAGAUGGAAUUAAGCC
Molecule: ribosomal RNA, 674 nt
Filed under: uncultured organism
Description: bacterial SSU rRNA
Rfam family: Bacterial small subunit ribosomal RNA
Source: RNAcentral